RNAcentral lists this non-coding RNA (490 nucleotides) under Hanseniaspora osmophila. RNAcentral describes it as "Eukaryotic large subunit ribosomal RNA". It matches the Rfam family "Eukaryotic large subunit ribosomal RNA", at positions 955 to 1444 of the family's 3401-position model. Lineage: Eukaryota; Fungi; Ascomycota; Saccharomycetes; Saccharomycodales; Saccharomycodaceae. The record is from Rfam by way of RNAcentral.
UUUCUGCCGAAGUUUCCCUCAGGAUAGCAGAAGCUAGUAUCAGUUUUAUGAAGUAAAGCGAAAGAUUAGAGGUGCAGGGGUUGAAAUGACCUUGACCUAWUCUCAAACUUUAAAUAUGUAAGAAGUCCUUGUUGCUUAAUUGAACGUGGACAUAUGAAUGAAGAGCUUUUAGUGGGCCAUUUUUGGUAAGCAGAACUGGCGAUGCGGGAUGAACCGAACGUGGAGUUAAGGUGCCGGAAUGUACGCUCAUCAGACACCACAAAAGGUGUUAGUUCAUCUAGACAGCCGGACGGUGGCCAUGGAAGUCGGAAUCCGCUAAGGAGUGUGUAACAACUCACCGGCCGAAUGAACUAGCCCUGAAAAUGGAUGGCGCUCAAGCGUAUUCCCUAUACUCCACCGUCAGGGUUAAUAUGAUGCCCUGACGAGUAGGCAGGCGUGGAGGUCAGUGACGAAGCCUAGGCAGUGAUGCUGGGUAGAACGGCCUCUAGUG